This 240-nucleotide unclassified non-coding RNA is filed under the name soil metagenome. Its description in RNAcentral is "partial contains 5.8S ribosomal RNA, internal transcribed spacer 2, and large subunit ribosomal RNA". The record is from RNAcentral.
AACGGUCUAUACCUGCGGUACCUGCGGAAGGAUCAUUAUAGAGUGGUAAACCCCCCGUAAAAGGGGGGGACCUCCUGUCCUUUGUAGGCUCUUUUUUAAAAGGGCUUUUUUUAAUUUUCUGCUUCGGUGGGGUUAUCCCACCGGAACAACCUCAAAACUCUUAUCAAAAAAUCGUUCUGUCUGAGAACCUUUUAUAAUAAAAAAAAACUUUCAGCAACGGAUCUCUAGAUCGGAAGAGCA